This 253-nucleotide ribosomal RNA is filed under the name uncultured bacterium. RNAcentral's name for it is "partial 16S ribosomal RNA". It matches the Rfam family "Bacterial small subunit ribosomal RNA", at positions 524 to 776 of the family's 1533-position model. The record is from RNAcentral.
UACGUAGGUGGCAAGCGUUGUCCGGAUUUAUUGGGUUUAAAGGGUGCGUAGGCGGUUCCAUAAGUCAGUGGUGAAGUACGGCAGCUCAACUGUCGAGGUGCCAUUGAUACUGCGGAACUUGAGUACUGAUGAGGUAGGCGGAAUUGACGGUGUAGCGGUGAAAUGCUUAGAUAUCGUCAAGAACACCGAUAGCGAAGGCAGCUUACCAAGCAGUAACUGACGCUGAGGCACGAAAGUGCGGGGAUCAAACAGG